AAUGGACGAAAGUCUGACCGAGCAACGCCGCGUGAGUGAAGAAGGUUUUCGGAUCGUAAAACUCUGUUGUUAGAGAAGAACAAGGAUGAGAGUAACUGUUCAUCCCUUGACGGUAUCUAACCAGAAAGCCACGGCUAACUACGUGCCAGCAGCCGCGGUAAUACGUAGNGUGGCAAGCGUUGUCCGGAUUUAUUGGGCGUAAAGCGAGCGCAGGCGGUUUCUUAAGUCUGAUGUGAAAGCCCCCGGCUCAACCGGGGAGGGUCAUUGGAAACUGGGAGACUUGAGUGCAGAAGAGGAGAGUGGAAUUCCAUGUGUAGCGGUGAAAUGCGUAGAUAUAUGGAGGAACACCAGUGGCGAAGGCGGCUCUCUGGUCUGUAACUGACGCUGAGGCUCGAAAGCGUGGGGAGCAAACAGGAUUAGAUACCCUGGUAGUCCACGCCGUAAACGAUGAGUGCUAAGUGUUGGAGGGUUUCCGCCCUUCAGUGCUGCAGCUAACGCAUNAAGCACUCCGCCUGGGGAGUACGACCGCAAGGUUGAAACUCAAAGGAAUUGACGGGGGCCCGCACAAGCNGUGGAGCAUGUGGU
This 585-nucleotide ribosomal RNA is filed under the name bacterium E-3-48-2D. Its description in RNAcentral is "bacterial SSU rRNA". It matches the Rfam family "Bacterial small subunit ribosomal RNA", at positions 370 to 945 of the family's 1533-position model. The record is from RNAcentral.